This 497-nucleotide ribosomal RNA is filed under the name uncultured bacterium. Its description in RNAcentral is "partial 16S ribosomal RNA". It matches the Rfam family "Bacterial small subunit ribosomal RNA", at positions 28 to 507 of the family's 1533-position model. The record is from RNAcentral.
GAUGAACGCUGGCGGCGUGCCUAAUACAUGCAAGUCGAGCGAACAGACGAGGAGCUUGCUCCUCUGACGUUAGCGGCGGACGGGUGAGUAACACGUGGAUAACCUACCUAUAAGACUGGGAUAACUUCGGGAAACCGGAGCUAAUACCGGAUAAUAUAUUGAACCGCAUGGUUCAAUAGUGAAAGACGGUUUUGCUGUCACUUAUAGAUGGAUCCGCGCCGCAUUGGCUAGUUGGUCGGGGAACGGCUUACCAAGGCAACGAUGCGUAGCCGACCUGAGAGGGUAUUCAGCCAAAUUGGAGCAGAGACAGGGACCAGACGCCUAGGGGAGGCAGCAGUAGGGACUCUUCGGCAAUAAGCGAGAGCCUGACGGAGCAACGCCGCGUGAGUGAUGAAGGUCUUCGGAUCGUAAAACUCUGUUAUUAGGGAAGACCGAAUGUGUAAUUAACAAGGCGCGGCUUGACGGUACCUGAUCAGAAAGCCACGGCUAACUACGUG